CCGGGAUAGCUCAGUUGGUAGAGCAGAGGACWRAAAAUCCUCGUGCAC
RNAcentral lists this transfer RNA (48 nucleotides) under Riccia billardierei. RNAcentral's name for it is "partial tRNA-Phe". Lineage: Eukaryota; Viridiplantae; Streptophyta; Marchantiopsida; Marchantiales; Ricciaceae. The record is from RNAcentral.